This 233-nucleotide ribosomal RNA is filed under the name uncultured bacterium. RNAcentral's name for it is "partial 16S ribosomal RNA". It matches the Rfam family "Bacterial small subunit ribosomal RNA", at positions 102 to 334 of the family's 1533-position model. The record is from RNAcentral.
ACGGGUGAGUAACACGUAUCCAACCUGCCGUCUACUCUUGGACAGCCUUCUGAAAGGAAAGAUUAAUACAAGAUGGCAUCAUGAGUCCGCAUGUUCACAUGAUUAAAGGUAUUCCGGUAGACGAUGGGGAUGCGUUCCAUUAGCCAGUUGGCGGGGUAACGGCCCACCAAAGCGACGAUGGAUAGGGGUUCUGAGAGGAAGGUCCCCCACAUUGGAACUGAGACACGGUCCAA